GGAUGUGAGGGCGAUCUGGCUGCGACAUCUGUCACCCCAUUGAUUGCCAGGGUUGAUUAGGCUGAUCUGGCUGGCUAGGCAGGUGUCCCCUUCCUCCCUCACCACUCCAUGUGCGUCCCUCCCGAAGCUGUGAGCUCAGUGGAAGAGGACAACCAUCCCCCAUAGAGGAGGACCGUUCUUCGGUCAAGGGUAUACGAGUAGCUGCGCUCCCCUGCUAGAACCUCCAAACAAGCUCUAAAAAGGAAUGGAUUCAUUUGGAGUUUUAUUCCAUCUAUAGAGUUUCAGGUCUCCAACACUUAGAGGAAGCACAU
This is a non-coding RNA of Canis lupus familiaris (dog), 311 nucleotides long. The record is from Rfam. NCBI's taxonomy places the organism in Eukaryota, Metazoa, Chordata, Mammalia, Carnivora, Canidae.